GACGAACCGUGCUAACGUUGUUCGGAAUCACUGGGCUUAAAGGGCGCGUAGGCGGUGUGUUAAGUCGGCGGUGAAAUACUUCAGCUCAACUGAAGAAUUGCCGCUGAAACUGACAUGCUAGAGGGAGGUAGAGGUGCGUGGAACUUCCGGUGGAGCGGUGAAAUGCGUUGAUAUCGGAAGGAACACCUGUGGCGAAAGCGUCGCACUGGACCUCUUCUGACGCUGAUGCGCGAAAGCUAGGGUAGCGAACGGG
This 253-nucleotide ribosomal RNA is filed under the name uncultured bacterium. Its description in RNAcentral is "partial 16S ribosomal RNA". It matches the Rfam family "Bacterial small subunit ribosomal RNA", at positions 524 to 776 of the family's 1533-position model. The record is from RNAcentral.